GGAUUUUAACCCAAGAGAAAUGAAAAGAUAAUCGAGCAAAGGAUUAUGUUGGACAGUUUUAUAACGAGUGAUCUGGUGACAAUAUGGAUGUCGUUGAUCUUACUGGAGGACGCAAUUACCUAACGGAAGGCUGGUGCCAUUACAAGGGGCUAACGGAAUAUGAAUCCCUCUGACGGCCGCCACGGCCUCAAUCACGGCUCCACCGGAGUCAGUUUCCAA
This 219-nucleotide long non-coding RNA is filed under the name Brassica rapa (field mustard). RNAcentral describes it as "long non-coding RNA (BRAP_LNC000409)". Lineage: Eukaryota; Viridiplantae; Streptophyta; Magnoliopsida; Brassicales; Brassicaceae. The record is from RNAcentral.